UACGGGGGGGGCAAGCGUUGUUCGGAAUUACUGGGCGUAAAGGGCUCGUAGGCGGCCAACUAAGUCAGACGUGAAAUCCCUCAGCUUAACUGGGGAACUGCGUCUGAUACUGGAUGGCUUGAGUUUGGGAGAGGGAUGCGGAAUUCCUGGUGUAGCGGUGAAAUGCGUAGAUAUUGGGAGGAACACCGGUGGCGAAGGCGGCUCCCUGGACCGGUACUGACGCUGAGGCGCGAAAGCGUGGGUAGCAAACGGG
This 253-nucleotide ribosomal RNA is filed under the name uncultured bacterium. RNAcentral's name for it is "partial 16S ribosomal RNA". It matches the Rfam family "Bacterial small subunit ribosomal RNA", at positions 524 to 776 of the family's 1533-position model. The record is from RNAcentral.